UCCUACGGGAGGCUCAGUGGGGAAUUUUCUGCCAUGGGCGAAAGCCUGACAAAUCAAUACCGCGUGAGGGAAGACAGCCCACAGGGUUGUAAACCUCUUUUGUCACGGAAGAAGUUCUGACGUUACUUGACGAAUAAGCAUCGGCUAACUCCGUGCCAGCAGCCGCGGUAAGACGGAUGAUGCAAGUGUUAUCCGGAAUCACUGGGCGUAAAGCGUUUGUAGGUGGUUUAUUAAGUCUAUUAUUAAAUCUUGAAGCUCAACUUCAGAACUGUAAUAGAAACUACUGAACUUGAAGAUACUAAGGGUAAAGGGAAUUUCCAGUGGACCGGUGAAAUGCGUAGACAGUGUAAGGACCACCCAUGGCGAAGGCAAUUUACUGGGCUAUAUCUGACACUAAGAGACCAGCGCUAGGGUAGCUAAUGGGAGUAUAUACCCCUGUAAUCCUAGCUGUAAACGAGGGAUACUAAAUGUUGUGUGUAUCGAUCCGUGCAUGAUCUUAGCUAACGCGGUAAUUAUCCCGCCUGCGAACUGUGCUCGCAAGAGUGACACUCAUAUGACUUGACUG
Molecule: ribosomal RNA, 565 nt
Filed under: uncultured bacterium
Lineage: Bacteria
Description: bacterial SSU rRNA
Rfam family: Bacterial small subunit ribosomal RNA
Source: RNAcentral